This 1539-nucleotide ribosomal RNA is filed under the name Escherichia coli. RNAcentral describes it as "partial 23S ribosomal RNA". It matches the Rfam family "Bacterial large subunit ribosomal RNA", at positions 1420 to 2925 of the family's 2925-position model. Lineage: Bacteria; Pseudomonadati; Pseudomonadota; Gammaproteobacteria; Enterobacterales; Enterobacteriaceae. The record is from RNAcentral.
GGGAAACAGGUUAAUAUUCCUGUACUUGGUGUUACUGCGAAGGGGGGACGGAGAAGGCUAUGUUGGCCGGGCGACGGUUGUCCCGGUUUAAGCGUGUAGGCUGGUUUUCCAGGCAAAUCCGGAAAACCAAGGCUGAGGCGUGAUGACGAGGCACUACGGUGCUGAAGCGACAAAUGCCCUGCUUCCAGGAAAAGCCUCUAAGCAUCAGGUAACAUCAAAUCGUACCCCAAACCGACACAGGUGGUCAGGUAGAGAAUACCAAGGCGCUUGAGAGAACUCGGGUGAAGGAACUAGGCAAAAUGGUGCCGUAACUUCGGGAGAAGGCACGCUGAUAUGUAGGUGAAGCGACUUGCUCGUGGAGCUGAAAUCAGUCGAAGAUACCAGCUGGCUGCAACUGUUUAUUAAAAACACAGCACUGUGCAAACACGAAAGUGGACGUAUACGGUGUGACGCCUGCCCGGUGCCGGAAGGUUAAUUGAUGGGGUUAGCGGCAACGCGAAGCUCUUGAUCGAAGCCCCGGUAAACGGCGGCCGUAACUAUAACGGUCCUAAGGUAGCGAAAUUCCUUGUCGGGUAAGUUCCGACCUGCACGAAUGGCGUAAUGAUGGCCAGGCUGUCUCCACCCGAGACUCAGUGAAAUUGAACUCGCUGUGAAGAUGCAGUGUACCCGCGGCAAGACGGAAAGACCCCGUGAACCUUUACUAUAGCUUGACACUGAACAUUGAGCCUUGAUGUGUAGGAUAGGUGGGAGGCUUUGAAGUGUGGACGCCAGUCUGCAUGGAGCCGACCUUGAAAUACCACCCUUUAAUGUUUGAUGUUCUAACGUUGGCCCCUAAUCGGGGUUGCGGACAGUGUCUGGUGGGUAGUUUGACUGGGGCGGUCUCCUCCUAAAGAGUAACGGAGGAGCACGAAGGUUGGCUAAUCCUGGUCGGACAUCAGGAGGUUAGUGCAAUGGCAUAAGCCAGCUUGACUGCGAGCGUGACGGCGCGAGCAGGUGCGAAAGCAGGUCAUAGUGAUCCGGUGGUUCUGAAUGGAAGGGCCAUCGCUCAACGGAUAAAAGGUACUCCGGGGAUAACAGGCUGAUACCGCCCAAGAGUUCAUAUCGACGGCGGUGUUUGGCACCUCGAUGUCGGCUCAUCACAUCCUGGGGCUGAAGUAGGUCCCAAGGGUAUGGCUGUUCGCCAUUUAAAGUGGUACGCGAGCUGGGUUUAGAACGUCGUGAGACAGUUCGGUCCCUAUCUGCCGUGGGCGCUGGAGAACUGAGGGGGGCUGCUCCUAGUACGAGAGGACCGGAGUGGACGCAUCACUGGUGUUCGGGUUGUCAUGCCAAUGGCACUGCCCGGUAGCUAAAUGCGGAAGAGAUAAGUGCUGAAAGCAUCUAAGCACGAAACUUGCCCCGAGAUGAGUUCUCCCUGAGACUUAGAGUCUCCUGAAGGAACGUUGAAGACGACGACGUUGAUAGGCCGGGUGUGUAAGCGCAGCGAUGCGUUGAGCUAACCGGUACUAAUGAACCGUGAGGCUUAACCUUACAACGCCGAAG